This 346-nucleotide unclassified non-coding RNA is filed under the name soil metagenome. RNAcentral's name for it is "partial contains 5.8S ribosomal RNA, internal transcribed spacer 2, and large subunit ribosomal RNA". The stretch from base 1 to 120 matches the Rfam family "5.8S ribosomal RNA", at positions 35 to 154 of the family's 154-position model. The record is from RNAcentral.
GAUGAAGAACGUAGCAAAAUGCGAUAAGUAAUGUGAAUUGCAGAAUUCAGUGAAUCAUCGAAUCUUUGAACGCACAUUGCGCCCGCCAGUAUUCUGGCGGGCAUGCCUGUUCGAGCGUCAUUUCAACCCUCAAGCCCUCGGGUUUGGUGUUGGGGAUCGGCGAGCCUUUCUGGCAAGCCGGCCCCGAAAUCUAGUGGCGGUCUCGCUGCAGCCUCCAUUGCGUAGUAGUAAAACCCUCGCAACUGGAACGCGGCGCCGCCAAGCCGUUAAACCCCCAACUUCUGAAUGUUGACCUCGGAUCAGGUAGGAAUACCCGCUGAACUUAAGCAUAUCAAUAAGCGGAGGA